This 711-nucleotide ribosomal RNA is filed under the name uncultured bacterium. RNAcentral's name for it is "bacterial SSU rRNA". It matches the Rfam family "Bacterial small subunit ribosomal RNA", at positions 105 to 810 of the family's 1533-position model. The record is from RNAcentral.
GGUGAGUAACACGUAUGCAACCUGGCCGUCACAGGUGGAUAACCGGAAGAAAUUCCGACUAAUACAGCAUAACACUCCUGAGGGACAUCCUUCGGGAGUCAAAGGAGGUAACUCCGGUGACGGAUGGGCAUGCGGCGCAUUAGGUAGUUGGUAGGGUAACGGCCUACCAAGCCGACGAUGCGUAGGGGUUCUGAGAGGAAGGUCCCCCACAUUGGAACUGAGACACGGUCCAAACUCCUACGGGAGGCAGCAGUGAGGAAUAUUGGUCAAUGGCCGGAAGGCUGAGCCAGCCAAGUCGCGUGAGGGAAUGAGGCCCUAUGGGUCGUAAACCUCUUUUGUCAGGGAGCAAAGGCGUCCACGUGUGGACGAGAGGAGAGUACCUGAAGAAAAAGCAUCGGCUAACUCCGUGCCAGCAGCCGCGGUAAUACGGAGGAUGCGAGCGUUAUCCGGAUUUAUUGGGUUUAAAGGGUGCGUAGGCGGAGUGUCAAGUCAGCGGUAAAAUUUCGGGGCUCAACCCCGUCGUGCCGUUGAAACUGACACCCUUGAGUGAGUGAGAAGUAAGCGGAAUGCGUGGUGUAGCGGUGAAAUGCAUAGAUAUCACGCAGAACGCCGAUUGCGAAGGCAGCUUACCGGCGCUCAACUGACGCUGAGGCACGAAAGUGCGGGUAUCGAACAGGAUUAGAUACCCUGGUAGUCCGCACAGUAAACGAU